This 253-nucleotide ribosomal RNA is filed under the name uncultured bacterium. Its description in RNAcentral is "partial 16S ribosomal RNA". It matches the Rfam family "Bacterial small subunit ribosomal RNA", at positions 524 to 776 of the family's 1533-position model. The record is from RNAcentral.
UACGUAGGAGGCAAGCGUUGUCCGGAAUUACUGGGUGUAAAGCGCGUGUAGGCGGCAGACCAAGUCGGCGGUGAAAGCGCCCGGCUCAACUGGGCGAGGUCCGUGGAAACUGGUCAGCUGGAGGACGGUAGAGGCGAGUGGAAUUCCCGGUGUAGUGGUGAAAUGCGUAGAGAUCGGGAGGAACACCUGUGGCGAAGGCGGCUCUCUGGGACGGUACUGACGCUGAGACGCGAAAGCGUGGGGAGCGAACAGG